AUCCCUGUCACUAUUCUCUAGCAUCUCAGCAGUGGACUGCAGCAGGCGGAUCCUCCAUAGAGGAAUCAAAGUAGACCCCACUGAGGUAUCCUUCUUCACCUAGCUGAGAGGCAGGAACAUAGCAGAACUCUGAAUUCUGCAGCAGUGCAUGUCUAGCCCUCAUGAUGGUCAGCAUUGAAUAGGUAGCAUCGUGUACUGCCAUGUCAACAGUGACCCCCAAUCCAUGGACCAAUGGAUUGGCUCCUCAGCUCCAAGGUAAUCUGGGAAUACCCUAACAGUGCAGAGGUACUCGCUCUGAUUAAAAUCCCGGUACGGCUCCUCCACUGUGUACUCUGGGUACCAGCGGUAACCGGACACUGACAUCAUCCUGACUAGCAUGGCCGUAUGACCUGGCACAUCAAUGCACCUAGUCAGACGGACCACCUGACGAGAAGGACGACCAGGCACCUGAAAAUAGAGAGUAAUGCAAAAGCAUUAGAGCUCUGAAUACAAAGUUGGGCAUCAGAACGGCUGUAAAUGCUCAAAAACAAUUUUGAGACAACCCAUAAAAUAUAAUA
Molecule: long non-coding RNA, 557 nt
Filed under: Hordeum vulgare
Lineage: Eukaryota; Viridiplantae; Streptophyta; Magnoliopsida; Poales; Poaceae
Description: long non-coding RNA (HVUL_LNC001279)
Source: RNAcentral